Molecule: long non-coding RNA, 290 nt
Organism: Amphibalanus amphitrite
Lineage: Eukaryota; Metazoa; Arthropoda; Thecostraca; Balanomorpha; Balanidae
Exons: 3
Source: RefSeq, a predicted model, not a curated record
CGGCUCGCGGCCUGUAGCUGACGGUGCUGGAGCCGCGAGUCACCGUGGUGGCUGGCCAUGGAGACUUGGAAAAGGCCGGUGAGGUGCGUCUCCAGCUGCGCUGUCAGACGAUCCAGUGGAACGAGCAGCAGCCCAUGUACCUGUCCCGGCUGUGCCGGUGUGUCUCCCAGCUUGAGCGGCGCCGGCCGACCGCUGCGCUGCUCUACAACUGCCACGUCCACACACGAUGCACGGUGACGGCUGACCAGGCGGUGCUGGUCUCGGCCGCGGCCGACGGCCAGCCCGCCCAG